This 148-nucleotide non-coding RNA is filed under the name Nomascus leucogenys (northern white-cheeked gibbon). Lineage: Eukaryota; Metazoa; Chordata; Mammalia; Primates; Hylobatidae. The record is from Rfam by way of RNAcentral.
GCCAGGCGUGGUGGUGCAUGCCUGUAAUCCCAGCUACUCGGGAGGCUGAGGCAGGAGAAUUGCUUGAACCCAGGAGACAGAGUUUGCAGUGAGCCAUGAUUGUGCCACUGCACCCCAGCCUGGGUGACAGAGCAAGACUCCGUCUCAA